AAUUCCCCCAUGCUUUAGAAAAGGGAACAAAGGAAGUCCUAGAAGAGGGUUUUUCAACCUCAGCCCUGGCAUGCUCUGGCCAGGUCGUCCUUUGUGGUCAAGGACUGUCCUGUGCAUUGCUGGGACUUUCGUUUCCUUAGAGUGACUCACCCUGACCCCACACAUCCUCUGCUGGAUGCCCCUAGAUGGCAGAACUAAAAUCAACUGAGAUGCCCUGUUCUGGGAGAGCCUACAGGAUCUGAGUCUGACAACUGCCCCAUCCUGUGCUUUCUUCUCCAGAUACCUUAGGGGCAAAAGGUGCUGGCAGAGGCCAGAAGAGGGCAGUAGAUCUCUGAAUGCUGUGCUUACAGGCAGUUAUAAACUACCUGCCAUGGAUCCUGGGAACAGAACCCCGGUCUUCUUCAAGAGCAGCAGGAAAAAUGCUGAGGCUGUGGGAAGCCGGCUGCUCUGCUCAAGGCCACUCUGUGAGAGAAGAUGCUAGCUGGCAGCCUCCUGAUCCCCCGGCAUGGCUCCUGUCACUGCACAGUUCUUCCCGGCUGAUAUAUCACACGCCUAACUACAGAGAUGUGAGGAGUGCGACCCACUCAGCUCCCUUCACAUCACCCUAAUUGACACAGCCCAGGAAUGACAGACACCAUUUGUCAUGAAACAAAAAUACCCCAGGAUGCUGGAGCCAGAGAGUACUUUCUGCGCUAGCAUCCUGCUGGGCCCAAAGCACCACCCAGCCCUUGUGGUAACACAAGGCUGCAGGGGGUAAGAAGAGCUGCUUCUGCAAUUGGGUCAGUCCUGUGGGCUCGCCCCUCUUAACUGUCACAGCAGAUUAGACAGAAAGGCAGCACCGCAUGGACCACAGCUCAGGUGCAGGCUGAAGCCAAGAAAGGAAGAAACACAAUCAUUAAAGGGCCAGAGUGCCUGCCCUGCCUGUGGCUGCUGACCGCUGCCAGCACUAAUUUAAUGAUCCAGCCACAGCUCAGAGGACCCCUGUGAGCUGCAGGUUCACGAUGGGACUCUGGAUGCAGUGCAGGGAGGAUCCCGGAAGCCAGCAGGAGUCCAGGGGCCAUACUCACCCUGCUUGGGUCUAUGCGCCUGACAGAGGGGUGAGCCUACGUUGCUUUUUAAACAGGAGCCCUUCCGUUUCAUUUUGCACUGGACCCCACUGGCCAGAAAGCAGGCUCUCCCCCAGCCCAGCAGCUUCUAAACUCUAAUCGGCAAGCUGGAAACACUGUUCCCAUAGUGCCUAUUAGAGCAGAGCUGCUCUAGUUGAGGCCAGGAGUCUAUUCUCAACCUCAGCAAGCCUGACACUCACCUAUAAGCAUUGCUUAAAUGUUUUAAAUGAAAAUCCACAGAGCCCAGACCUAGAACCUGAGGCAGGUGGAGAGGUUCUAACACAUCCCACAUAUGACAAUGCAGCCUGUGACCCUGACUUGUACUCCAAGGGCUACUGGCUCCCCUUCUUCGCAGAUGAGGACACAGAGGCCCAAGCUGAGGGGCCUCAUCCAGUGGCACUCUGUCCUGACACCCUGAGGAGCUAAGCCAUCUUGGCCAUUCCCCUCCCUGCAGACACCAUCAUGCCUAGUUCUCCACGCUCUCAGAACACCUCUGGCGGCAGCACAGUGCCUUUGGGGAGUCUGAGGAAGGAUGGAGGAGUCAGAUCACGUUCACUGAGCCAACCGGCAUCCUAAGAGCUCAGAGCUCCAUGCUGUUCCUCUAACCUGCAGGAGACAGAUCAGCUGCACCAGUGCUAAGCCUGCUUGCCUAACAGUCUCCACCUCAGUAAUUAGCAGGCAAUCCCUUGGCAACAAUCUGUGGUACAAGUGCCACCAUCAUCCUGACUUUACAGGUAAGAAAGUGGGACUUAGCCAGGUAUGGUGGCUCAAGGCCAUAAGCCUAGCACUUUGACACUCACACAGAAGGGGCCUAUGGGUAAAAUCAGGAUAAAAGAGGCUCACCCACCUCCUCUCCUCCCCCACCCACCAUCUACCCUCCUAGGCAGCUCUUACCCAACUCUAACCCCACCUCCAAAGGACCACCCACAUCACACUGACUUCCUCAGCCUCCCUCCCAUGACUUAGUGAUCACCUGUGACUCUUACUCCUCUCCGUUAUUCUCUUACCUGACGC
Long non-coding RNA from Apodemus sylvaticus (European woodmouse), 2120 nucleotides. RefSeq lists it as uncharacterized. The transcript is spliced from 3 exons. The record is from RefSeq and is a predicted model, not a curated record. Lineage: Eukaryota; Metazoa; Chordata; Mammalia; Rodentia; Muridae.